GACGAACGCUGGCGGCGUGCCUAACACAUGCAAGUCGAGCGAACAGACGAGGCGCUUGCUCCUUUGACGUUAGCGGCGGGCGUGUGAGUAACACGUGGAUAACCCCCCUAUCAGACUGGGAUAAUUUCGGGAAACCGGCGCUAAUACCGGAUAAUAUCCUGCACCGCAUGGUGCAAUAGUGAAAGACGGCGUUUCUGUCUCUUCUAGCUGGUUAUCGGCCGCAUUGGCUAGUUGGUAAGUUAACGGCUUAUCAAGGCUACGAUGCGUAUCCGACCUGAGAGAGUGAUAGGCCGCACGAGAGGUGAGACAGGGUCAAGACUCCUACGGGAGGCAGCAGUAGGGAACGUUCCGCAGUAGGCGAAAGCCUUACGGAGCAACGCGGCGUGAGUUAUGACGAUCUUCGGAGCGGAAAGCUCUGUUAUGAGGGAAGAACAAAUGUGUAAGUAACUAUGCACGUCUUGACGGUACCUAAUCAGAAAGCCACGGCUAACUACGUG
RNAcentral lists this ribosomal RNA (497 nucleotides) under uncultured bacterium. Its description in RNAcentral is "partial 16S ribosomal RNA". It matches the Rfam family "Bacterial small subunit ribosomal RNA", at positions 28 to 507 of the family's 1533-position model. The record is from RNAcentral.